GAUGAACGCUAGCUACAGGCUUAACACAUGCAAGUCGAGCGACCGGCGCACGGGUGUGUCAUACGUAUCCAACCUUCCCUUUCCUCGGGGAUUGCCUUUCGAAAGAAAGAUUAAUACACGAUGUAAAGGAUCGGGAUGCGUUUACUUAGGUUGUUGGUGAGGGAACGGCUCACCCAGCCUUCGAUGGAUAGGGGUGCUGAUAGGAAGGUCCCCUACAUUGGAACUGAGGCACAGUCCAAACUCCUACGCAGAGCAGCAGUAAAUAAUAUUGGUCAAUGGGCGUUAGCCUGAACCAGCCAAGUAGCGUGAAGGAUGAAGGCUUAUGAGUCGUAAACUACUGAUAUAUAAGGAGAUGUAUUAUAUGAAUAAGGAUCGGCUAACUCCGUGCCAGCAGCCGCGGUAAUAC
Molecule: ribosomal RNA, 406 nt
Filed under: uncultured bacterium
Lineage: Bacteria
Description: partial 16S ribosomal RNA
Rfam family: Bacterial small subunit ribosomal RNA
Source: RNAcentral